RNAcentral lists this long non-coding RNA (305 nucleotides) under Gossypium barbadense (sea-island cotton). RNAcentral's name for it is "long non-coding RNA (GBAR_LNC015225)". Lineage: Eukaryota; Viridiplantae; Streptophyta; Magnoliopsida; Malvales; Malvaceae. The record is from RNAcentral.
GAAAUAAAGUUUCAAGAUAAACUCAUUGGUAUUAGGAAUUGACUCGGAAAACAGCUCAUUAGUUGAGAGAAUUUUUUUUUUUUGGGUUUUACAAAUUUAUAAAUGUGGAAAGCCUCUGUCUUAAAAUUUGAAAGUUUUGAUUAAGAAGUUUAAGGAUCAAAUUGAUAGAAUUUUUAAAUAAAAAAGAGUUAAAUUUAUUGAAUUAUUUAGAUUUAGGAACACAUUUAUAGAAUAUGUAAGUAUUGAUGACUAAAUAUGUUAUUAUACCAGUUAGAAAAAGUUUUCCGUUAUCAAUUUAAUGGUGG